CAUUGAAUAAAUGGAAUCAUGGUCUUGCUGGUUGCUGCGUAUUUGGCUGUAUUGGUUAUUUCUAUUAUUCUAUUCAAUUUCUGCAAACUAAUCUAUUGAUUGAGUGGAGCGCAUAUUUUCAAGCAUGAGCAUUUCAAGACAGAUUUGCACAAUAAGAUAUCGGAUGAGUGGCUUAUAGAUUUGAAUUUGAUGGUCUGCUAUACUGAGCGAGAAAUAUUCAAAAAAAAAUGAUGAUGAUGACGAUGAUGCAAUCAUCAUAAAUAUAUUCCAAGCAUUAGAAAUCCAUAGAAUAUCCUUGCCUCUUAAAUGAAUUACAUGUAUUUUUUGAUUAAUGGUAGGCCAAAUCUUUCAGUUAAUGUUAUUUUCCCUUUCAAUUUAUCACUGAUUUUGCUAUGUUUACUUUAUGUAUAGGUGUUUCUAUUCUCAUAUGACUGAUGUAAGCAAUUACUUCGCAUUGGCAAAGUAUUUUUCUUUAUUUCUUUCUUUUCUAUUCAAUCAUGUAUCAUGAAUGUGUUGAACAGCUACUGUAAGUACUGCAAUUUACUUUUUAUUAACUUAGUACUUGAAGGUCAAGCCUACCCUCUUUUUCUAUCCUGGAUUCGCCGCUGGUACGGGUUGACGGCUAAACGACUAGGCAUUGUCUGGUAGUAAUCGUUUAAGCAAAACAGGACAGCACCGGUAAAUUAGCAAGCUCACAUCUAUGUUGCAGGCAGGAUGGACGCAGCAGUAGAAAUUUUUUUACGAAGAAGAGAAUGAAAGGAAACAUAUAUUACUGCUUAUAUACUAGUCCCAAAAAUAUAAGGUAUUUUGUCCCUAUAUAACUACACAGGCAAAAUCUCUUAUGUUUUGGGGGCGUUUUACGGUACCUCCCACUGGUAGGUGUAGUAGUGUAGUAGGAUCGCAUCUAACCGUUGAUUUUUCGGAGCAUUUUAGUCCAUCUCUUAAUUAUAGUGGAAGGGUAUUUCGGUAAUUUCGCGUUCCAAUCAUUUUCCCUCCUGCAAUCCUCUCAUCCAGCAGCGGUCUUCACAUCGUCCUCCAUAUCUUCGCAUCGCCGCGACGCCCCAUCGUGCGACGCCGACCAGGUGCGCCGCCGCGACACCCCUCCACCUCGACCUGUCCGCGCCGGCAUUCCCGUUUGCGCGGCCACCUCGACAUCCCUCCACCUUCGCCUGGCCGCGCCACCCAUCCCCUGCCACCCGGUGCCGUCGGCACACCGCGCCGCCGCUUUUCAGCUGUUGCCGCCACCGUCGCUUCUCUCCCCUUGUUGCCCUCCGCCGGCCCUCGUCGCCACCGCCCCCCUCCUCCCCUCCUAGCGGCCGCCAGCUGCCAUCCCCCAGUCACAUCGCUGCCAUCCUCGCCGCGUCUCUCUGCCUUCCCCUGGCCGGCUAUCCUCCCUCCCCUCCAGCCGGCUCUCUGAUCUGCUUCCCACCAGCCACUUGCCUGCAUUGAUUCUGUAUUUGGAGUAGUUGACGCCUACUCAUUUGAUUCAGAAAAUUACAGAAUUGAGCUGCCUCCUGUGUCCUAACUUGACUGGUUGUCGCUUGGUUUCUGAAAUUAUGUCCUGGAUGCUGAUCAUGGAGCUGUGGUUUACCCUGUCAGGAGGUCAGUAGCUCCUCCUGCAGUUCAGCAUUUGGGCGACGUCCUUGGGCAGUGUAACUGCGGCGCACCUGGUUGCCCUGAGAUGAUUCCGGCGCAAGCACAGUUCUGUUGUUUGCGUUGCAAGGCUGCAGUUCAUUGCUGUUUAUUUAUUAUUAUAAAGGAGUGUAAUGAACAAAAAAAAUUUAGUUGCCUUUUUAAAUAUUAGGAUUAAAUGAGCUGCAACUGGAUUGGUGACUUCAUUUUGUGAUGCUUGUGUGAUGCUUUAAUGGUGUUGUUUGCUAGAAUGAUGCUGUUGUUGAUGCUGGAAUGAUACUGCAACGGCUGGAAAUUGUGCUGCUGCUGGAACUGCACUGUUGUUGCUGGAAUGAAACUGAACUGCUGUUGCUGCAAUGAAA
This is a long non-coding RNA of Oryza sativa Japonica Group (Japanese rice), 1994 nucleotides long. RefSeq lists it as uncharacterized. The record is from RefSeq and is a predicted model, not a curated record. NCBI's taxonomy places the organism in Eukaryota, Viridiplantae, Streptophyta, Magnoliopsida, Poales, Poaceae.